RNAcentral lists this ribosomal RNA (274 nucleotides) under uncultured bacterium. RNAcentral's name for it is "partial 16S ribosomal RNA". It matches the Rfam family "Bacterial small subunit ribosomal RNA", at positions 523 to 796 of the family's 1533-position model. The record is from RNAcentral.
AUACGGAGGGUGCAAGCGUUACUCGGAAUCACUGGGCGUAAAGGAUGCGUAGGCUGGAUGUCAAGUUGGAAGUGAAAUCCUAUGGCUUAACCAUAGAACUGCUUCCAAAACUGGCAACCUAGAGUGAGGGAGAGGCAGAUGGAAUUAGUGGUGUAGGGGUAAAAUCCGUAGAUAUCACUAGGAAUACCGAUUGCGAAGGCGAUCUGCUAGAACUCUACUGACGCUAAGGCAUGAAAGCGUGGGGAGCAAACAGGAUUAGAUACCCGGGUAGUCC